UACGGGGGGGGCAAGCGUUGUUCGGAUUUACUGGGCGUAAAGCGCACGUAGGCGGAUCGUUAAGUCGGGGGUGAAAUCCUGGAGCUCAACUCCAGAACUGCCUUCGAUACUGGCGAUCUUGAGUCCGGAAGAGGUGAGUGGAACUCCUAGUGUAGAGGUGGAAUUCGUAGAUAUUAGGAAGAACACCAGUGGCGAAGGCGGCUCACUGGUCCGGUACUGACGCUGAGGUGCGAAAGUGUGGGGAGCGAACAGG
RNAcentral lists this ribosomal RNA (253 nucleotides) under uncultured bacterium. RNAcentral's name for it is "partial 16S ribosomal RNA". It matches the Rfam family "Bacterial small subunit ribosomal RNA", at positions 524 to 776 of the family's 1533-position model. The record is from RNAcentral.